Long non-coding RNA from Triticum dicoccoides, 1481 nucleotides. RefSeq lists it as uncharacterized. Lineage: Eukaryota; Viridiplantae; Streptophyta; Magnoliopsida; Poales; Poaceae. The transcript is spliced from 2 exons. The record is from RefSeq and is a predicted model, not a curated record.
UUCACGCCCAUCUUCCUCUUCUGAUCCUCCUUGCUCCUUGGCUUCUUCAUGGCCAAUUCCUUGAUACCUGAGUAUGCACAAUGUCUCCGUUUGAGGUAGUAGCCAUGUCUCAUGUGCAUCGAAGUGGAAAUGUGAGAGGAGAGAUGUCACCUUGGUUUCGAGAGCUCUUGCACGUGCUCGUGUCAUGGGUCCAAGUGGUGUCGUAGGAGAUGUAGUUGGGUCCAUGGGGAUGACCUUGGGAUGCUCCGCAUCACAAAAGUAAAAGUCCCCUCCAUUGCAGCACAAGGCAAAUAGUCCAACUUUCUCUGGUGAGAGAAUAGUGCAGUCAGAGGCAGAGCAUCAUAAUCCACUUGCUGUUCAAGUACCACCAUACUAAGAUGGAUGUUGUUCAUAAUAAUAUUGCCAGCUUGCUGGACUGGAACAUCAACUAGCUUUUCAUUUGGAACUCCCAUGCCCACCUGGAAUGCAUUUGACGGAAUCACUAGAAGUGUUCUCUUGAGUCAGAACUGAAGGUCACAGUCAGAUCACUAAUGGCCAUCUCCACCACAGGAACAUUAAGAUCCAGAUCAUUGGCCUGCACUUCAUGAAGAAUUGGUUGAAUAGGAGGAUGAUUAUGAAUCACAGGAUUAAGCAUCUCUUCCAGUUUCUGGAAUUCCUCCUGAUUGAGCUCAUGAGCCCCUGCUAUAAGAUCACUGAUCUCCAGGAAAUCUCCUGAUUAGGGUCAGAAUUAUGCUGUAAAUGCUGAUCAUACUGCUCCUCGUGCCCAAUUUCAGCAGGCUGAAUCCCUGGCUGAUCAUCCCAUUCUGGCCAAAACUGCUCCUCAUGCCCAAUGUCAGCAGACUGAAUCCCUGGCUGAUCAUCCCUCCGGCCCAGAUGGUUUACCGGUGCUUUUUUCAGAGCUUGCUGGAACACCAUCAAAUCAGAUGUCAUGGUGGUGAUUAACCUCUUCUCCAACCUGCAAAUGGCUAACUUUCAUUGGCUCAAUUUGCCAGACAUUGUUUUGAUCCCCAAGAAAGAGUCUGAGCCGUGUACUACCUUCCAUCAACGUGUCUAAAGGCAUUAAGAAGAGUCUAAGCAACAAGAUGAAGGCUUUCCUUUGGGGCUGUACCGAAAGGAUUUAUGGUGGAAAAUGCAAGGUUAAUUGGUAGCAUGUUUGUCGUCCAGCCGAUCUGGGAGGGCUUGGAGAUCUCCACCUCGGCAAGUUCUCCUGCGCCAUGAGCCUCUGCUGGUUGUGGCUUGUUUGGACAUCCCGGAGUGGCCUUGGGUUGGUCUCGAUCUCCAUUGCUACCACUCCGCUGGUUGUGGUUUGUGUGGAUUUGAAUCUAGUUUCAUGUUAUUCUUUAUGCGAACAUAUUUUUUCAUAUUCUCUGGAAAAGAGAUGCGGAAUAACAUCACUCUCAGUCUUGCAGAAUUUUCAGAGUGAUAUUUAUAAAACCAUCUGUCUAGUUUUAUUUUGUAAUAUGGUUCAAUCGUUUCUUUUC